RNAcentral lists this unclassified non-coding RNA (435 nucleotides) under Stachys annua. Its description in RNAcentral is "partial contains external transcribed spacer and small subunit ribosomal RNA". The record is from RNAcentral. Lineage: Eukaryota; Viridiplantae; Streptophyta; Magnoliopsida; Lamiales; Lamiaceae.
ACGUCCCGAUCAAGCCCCUUCAGCUGUUGGUUCAAGCGAGCAUCGCCUUGGCCGACGUCGGAUUCCUGUGCUGAAUUCCUAACGGACGGCAAUCUCUAGUCCCACCAACGUCCCGUACUCCUCCCCUCGUCGCGGGUCCGCAAGGACACGCGGCGCGGGGAGGACAUCAAAGCCCCCGUCGUGUCUCGCAGCCCUCGCGCCCGCCCAGCACGGGUGGCCCGGGCCUGCCGACCCACGACGUCGCGCUCGAUCUCUCGGAUGCGGAAAACCAAGCGGCCACGAGGCCACGGCCUCCGAUGCCCCUUCAUAAGAGCGCCCGACGCUCCCUGCGGACGACUGCCGGCCGGGUCUUGGCCCGGGGCCCCAGCGGCUCCCGGAUCAUGCCCGUCCGGCGUCGACGAGGAAUGCUACCUGGUUGAUCCUGCCAGUAGUCAU